GGAGAGAUGGCUCAGUGGUUAAGAGCACUGACUGUUCUUCCAGAGGUCCUGAGUUCAAUUCCCAGCAACCACA
This 73-nucleotide transfer RNA is filed under the name Mus musculus (house mouse). RNAcentral describes it as "tRNA-Asn". Lineage: Eukaryota; Metazoa; Chordata; Mammalia; Rodentia; Muridae. The record is from RNAcentral.